AAUUUGAAUUCGAUGAGGACAGCCUCAAAUCCUUUCAAACCAUCAAGGAUGCUUUGGUAUCUGCUCCGGUUGUUCGAGCGCCAAAUUGGGACUAUCCAUUUGAGAUCAUGUGUGAUGCAUCAGAUUACGCAAUAGGAGCUGUUUUAGGCCAGAAAAUAGACAAGAAGCUUCAUGUCAUAUAUUACGCCAGCCGAACGUUGGAUGACGCUCAGGGAAGAUAUGCAACAACUGAGAAGGAGCUUCUAGCUGUUGUAUUUGCAUUUGAGAAGUUCAGAAGCUAUUUGGUUGGAUCAAAGGUAACUGUCUAUACAGACCUUUGAGGCAUCUGUAUGCCAAGAAGGAUACUAAACCAAGACUGUUGAGAUGGAUACUUUUAUUGCAAGAGUUUGACAUGGAGAUAGUAGAUAAGAAAGGCAUUGAAAAUGGUGCAGCUGACCAUCUGUCAAGGAUGAGAAUUGAAAAACCCCUUCCCAUAGACGAUUCAAUGCCACAAGAGCAGCUCAUGGUUGUAGAGUUCUUCGGAAGGAGCUACAGUGGGAAAGAGUUCCACCAACUGAAUGCUGUUGAAGGAGAAUCUCCAUGGUAUGCUGAUCAUAUCAAUUACUUGGCGUGCAGAGUAGAGCCUCCCAACCUGACAAGUUAUGAAAGGAAGAAGUUUUUCAGAGACAUACACCAUUACUACUAGGAUGAGCCUUAUCUUUACACUCUCUGUAAAGAUAAGAUCUACAGGAGAUGUGUCUUAGAAGAUGAAGUGGAAGGUAUCCUGCUGCAUUGCCAUGGCUCAGCAUAUGGUGGUCACUUCGCGACGUUCAAGACAGUGUCCAAGAUUCUUCAAGCAGGCUUUUGGUGGCCAACAAUGUUUAAGGACGCUCAGGAGUUUGUUUUAAAGUGUGAUUCAUGCCAGAGAAAAGGCAACAUCAGCAGAAGAAAUGAGAUCUUUGAUGUAUGGGAUUGAUUUUAUGGGUCCAUUCUCAUCUUCAUACGGUAAUAAAUAUAUACUGGUCGCCGUAAACUACGUAUCAAAAUGGGUCGAAGCUAUUGCUAGUCCUACCAACGAUGCAAAAGUUGUGCUGAAGCUGUUCAAGACCAUAAUCUUCCCAAGAUUUGGAGUUCCCAGGGUAGUAAUCAGUGAUGGCGGGAAGUAUUUCAUCAACAAGGUUUUUGAGAACCUCUUGAAGAAGCAUGGAGUAAAGCACAAGGUCGCCACUCCCUAUCAUCCACAGACAAGCGGGCAGGUUGAGAUCUCCAAUAGGGAGAUAAAAACAAUUCUGGAAAAGACUGUUGGGAUUACAAGGAAAGACUGGUCUGCAAAGCUAGAUGAUGCAUUAUGGGCUUACUGAACAGCCUUCAAGACCCCCAUUGGUACAACUCCUUUCAAUCUUCUCUAUGGAAAAUCAUGUCACCUACCUGUAGAGCUCGAGUACAAGGCAAUGUGGGCGGUAAAACUUCUGAACUUUGACAUAAAAACUGCUGAGGAGAAGUGAUUAAUCCAACUCAGUGACCUCGAUGAGAUCCGUCUAGAAGCUUAUGAGAGCUCUAAAAUCUACAAGGAGAGAACCAAGCUUUUCCAUGACAAGAAGAUCAUCACUAAGGAUUUCCAGGCUGGAGAUCAGGUGCUGCUGUUCAACUCUCGCUUGAAACUCUUUCCAGGAAAACUCAAAUCCAGAUGGUCUGGCCCCUUCUGUAUGACUAAGGUCCGUCUUUAUGGAGCAGUCACUCUAGCUGGUAAAAGUAGAGACUUCACAGUAAAUGGUCAAAGACUCAAGAAAUACUUAACAGAUCAAAUCCUUCCAGAGGUGACAUCGGUUCAUCUCCAGGAACUUCUUGAUGAUUAAAGGAGUAAAGGAGUCAAGCUUAUGACUUUAAACAAGCUCACUUGGGAGGAAGUCCCAUGACUAUCUCUGUAAAUAUUUUUUUUUAUUUUCUUGUUAUUUUUGAUUUGUCUUGGUUGUGUUUGUGAUUCUCAGGAACGAAGGAACAAUGUGGAGAUAGAGUAAAAAUUCAAAACUUUUACUAUAUAGAAGACCUGGAGAUCGAGUGUAUAACCCGUUGGAGUACAAAAUUUUGAAAAUCUUCUAUUGCACCUAGUGACCUUACACUCGAGUACGUUGGUCGAGUAUGUGUGAUGUUUAAAACGCAAAAAACUUUUAAAUCAUCAUUUUACUUGACCCACAAAAGCUACAGAGACUUGUAGGGAUUUCCUGCAGUCUAAAGUGGGUUUUCUGCAAAAUUUUCCCAGUCAACAGAGUGUGGACCACGCACUGAGGAUAAGAUGGAGAGAGAAUCUCAAACUCAAUCUCAGCCAUUCCUUUUUACAUUUCACUCGACCUUGCUAUCUUCUGUUAUCCACCACUCGAUCAAAACAAAUUACUCGACCUAAUAAUCCUUAGCCACUCUCGACCUCCGCCGCUUCAGCAGAAUUCAAGGAACCACUCGACCAAUCGAUCUACUUGACCCCCGGGAAUCACUCGACCUCCGCCGCCGUCAUCAUUUCGUUCUAUCCGUCACUCGACUAGACUAGAUCAAUCGAUUCCUUUUGGCUAUAGUCGACCAAUUCACCCGUCUCUUUCAAAAGAAGCUACUCGACCUCGUUACCCAGUCUCCUAGCCGCACUCGACCGACGCCGCCUCAGCCGAUUUCAACAAUUGACUCCACCGCCGUGAAUCACUCGACCUUUCCAGCCGAGUACUCCUCCUCGUUCUCCGUCGAAUUCUCAGGGUUCAAGAUUUCACUCGACCUCGAGUUUUAACUCGACCUCUACAACUGCAACUCGACUUCUUGAAAUCAACAGAGCCCUGAAGCACUGUAAUAGAGGUUACUCGACCUGAAGACUUCACCGGCAGAACUCGACAUCCACAACUCACUCGACCUCCAGGAACAGCUCAGGUUACUCGAGUACAGAAUUGUACUCGAUCAAUUCAAUCUAUUUCAUUGCCUAUUGAUAACAAUUUUGGUUUCAUUGCUAUCUUUGAGACUAACCUAUUGACAUUUGAGCUUUGAGUUCUAAAUUUCUACCGGAGAAUCAUGAGGAAUUACAGUGGCAGUUCUUCUGGUUAUCCUGACUACAACAUGGAUGAGACAGAGUCGUCAUCUUCAAGGCCAGAGAGAGAACAGAGAGAAUAUGAAAGCUUCAGAAGGAAAGCUGAGAUAGCCCGAGGGAAGAGAGCGAUGACAUAGAGGUAUGAGCUUAUAGACGAAGAUCUGGAAGACGAGUACAUGCCUGAACAGACUAGCAGAGCUACCAAACUUCUGCACAAGCCAAACGUAUUGCCUGCUGAGGAAUAUGUUAGGCUUUUCUAGCUGAAUGAGUUAUGUAGCACGAGGUAUCCUUGCUCGACCUCACUUGCACAACUCGGUUUAUUGGAAGAUGUUUAGCACCUGUACCAAAGUUGUCAUCUGGACACUCUAAUGGCUUAUUCGUAUGUAGCGUAUGAAGAUGAGACAAUACAAUUCCUCUCCAUGCUGCAAGUAGAGCUCUACCAAGGUAUGACCUCUGAAGAGUUGGAUUGUGAAGGAUUGGGAUUCUUGCGAUUCUCUGAGUAUGGUCAUGAGUAUAGGUUAUCAAUCAAGCGCUUGGAAGGAUUGUUUGGCUUCCCCAGUGGAACGGGAUCUAAGCCCAAGUAUGAUAGAGAAGAGUUGAAAGACUUGUGGAUCACCAUUGGCAGCUCUGUACCGCUGAAUUCUUCCAGGUCAAAGAGCAAUCAUAUACGCAGCCCUGUCAUCAGGUACUUCCAGCGUUCUAUAGCCAAUGUACUCUAGUCCCAAGAGAUCACAGGGACUGUUACUAACUCUGAUAUGGAGUUGAUCGCAAUGGCCCUCAAGGUAACUCUUCGCCAAACUAAGAAUGGCAUGUCUCUCCAAGGUGAAAUCAAUGACACACCUCUCUCUGUACUUCUUCUGAUCCAUCUGUGUGGAUACAAGAGCAGGGCUGUCAGCAAUAACCACAAGAGAGCACGAGGUGCUCUGUGCAUAGGUGGUGUUGUGACACCGAUUCUGAUAGCUUGUGGAGUCCCAAUCAUUUCUGCUGGACUCGAGCCGCGAGCAAUGGAUAUCGAGCCCCUACGUCACUGCGAAUUCCUGGAGUUUGCAAUGGUUGACGACUUCCAAAGGUUCAGGUUUGAGCACUCUACAGACAGGAGAGCUAGCAUCCUUCUCCCUAGCCCUGAGGUUACACGGAUAAUAGAGGGUGAUAACAUUGAUUUUCGGCCUGAGGUUGGACGCCUCUACUAUGAGAACGCUCCGCCAUUGGAUGAUGAUGAUCUUCGAGAAGAAGUUGCUUCGGAUGGGAUGGAUGAAGAUAGAGGAGUGGAGUUCGACACUAGCAUGUAUCACUUUGGUGAAUAUGUACCUCCAGCGAGGCAGAGCAAGAGCUUGACUGAAGCUCAUAAGAACAACAGUAAAUUGCAGAAGUGGUGCAAGAAGCAGGACAAGCUGCUCGCCAAGUGUUUCAAGGCUAUCAAGCUUCUGACAGAUAAGCUGAGUUGUUCCUCCUGCACCACUGCUAUUCCACAGAAACAGCCUCCUCUGGAGAUGCCAUCGAGGAGAUUUGAUGAGCCUGCGCACAGGCCUGAGCUUAGCGAGUAGAGAGUCUCACAUGUCCCGGCUAGGCAUUAGUCAUUCGAGUCCCGGGAGCACAAGAGAAGAAGGAAGGCUACACUCACUCGAUCUAGCAGCAGAUCAUGCCUCAUUCACUCGAGGAGAUCACUCGACCGCGGUGCUGGCCGCAGCAGAAGGAGAGAGGUCGAGUAUCCUCAGAGCGGUGCUGGCCGCCACAGAGCUGAUGAGGUCGAGUACCCACCUGCUGGAGCUGAUACAGAACAAGGUGGUUCAUCUAUGGCCUGGGAGCAAUCACAUGCAGCCAUUGACGAGCAACUACGUUCAUUCUUCGACUGAGGUAAGUGCCACACUUCACCAAUGUAUUAUAUCAUCUGUUGUGAUUUGUUUUUAUUUCAUUUUGUUUCUAUGAUUGGAUUUGUCCUGAGUACUCUCUUUCAAGUUUAUUCGCACAGUGGACUGUGUGAUUUAAGUUUGGGGGAGGGCUCAGGAAGUGUGUGUUGCAUUGUAUAUAUUCUUGAGUCUGCAUUCAUCUAAGGCAUAGAAAAACCAAAAAGAUUUGAAAAAUUUCAGAAAAUGAUUUCACAAAAAAAAAAAAGAGUGUUCAUGUAGUUGCAUUACAUUUAGGAUCGAGUCUAGAGUGUUUCAUUUAGGAUUGUUGCAUAUGCAUAGGGGAUGAUGAUGAGAUAGCCUUGUAAGCAUUUUGAUGGGAUUACCAUUAGAGCUUCAUUUGAUGUACUCUGGGUAGAUGGGAUCUUAUCUCUAUAUGCAUAGCUUGGGACUUACCUUUAGCAUUCUACUAAAGCUUAAUCAUUUUUUGAGAGAUCCCCUGUUACUGAAGCCUAUUCUGUAAGGGACCAUCUUUGUCUCUUGACCUUUUACCUUAGUCAAAUGAGUUCUUUGAUGAUGCAUUGCUUGAUUCACGUUCCAGAACUAAUGAAUGUUAAAGGGAUUGGUAGAUUUGAAAACUUGUGUAGGUCGAGCAUAUGAGUCGGAUUGAUUGAUGAUGAGGCAUGGCUAACGUUUUUAAGAAGAAUUCGGUCUUGCAGCUUAGAACUUUCAACUUGGACAUUGAUUUCAUCUGGUUUAUCUGGUGCUUUGGCUCUGAGUCCCCGCUUUCAAACCUCACCUCCAGCUUGUUCUUGAUUGUUUGCUUGAGGGCAAGCAAAGACUAAGUUUGGGGGAGUUGAUAAGUGUGUAUUUUGCAUGUUUUGAGCAUCCAUUUGUCAUCAUUUUAGCAUCAUAUCAUCACUGUUUCAUACCAUUUCUCAUCAUUUGUCAUCACUUUACAUGUUUAGGAUAGAUUUGCAUGCAUGUUGCAUAUUUGCGUUGAUUUAAGGUAAUUUAGAGCUGUUGACGAGCUAUCUGGAAGAAGCGGGCAUGAUCAUGUUAAACCACUCGACCCCGCGGUCGAGUAGAGGACAUCACUACUUCACCACAUCACUCGACCCCGAGGUCGAGUGUCUUCAUCCCAUCACCUGACAAUCACUCGAUCACAUCACUCAACCCCGAGGUCGAGUGUCUUCACCUUCAUUGCCAGACCACUACUCGACCUCUUCACUCUACCUGGAAGUCGAGUAUCACCAUCACCACCACUCGACUGCAUACUCGAUGACAAGCUUCAGACCCUUCUUCAUUCCGCACUCAACCAGACACUCGAGCACAAGGAAGAAAAAAAGACUCCAGCUAUUCACUCGACCUCCCACUCGACCACAUGGGUCGAGUACAGUUCUUAAUCUGUCCCAAUACUUCGUCGUUUUAAGUAUUAGGGUUUCAGAAUAUUUGGCUAUAAGUAGCAUGUACUUCACAUUUUCGCAAACAAGUUUUUAUCUAAUUUUAUUCCGCAGACCUUGUGUUCUAGACCUUUUGUAAUCCGGAUUUCUCUAUAUCUAUUCAGUAUUUAGUAUUCAGCUUUUGUUCUUGAUUUCGUUUACUGUUGUUCAUUCUGUUAUCAUCCUGCUGUUACACUGUUGUUAUCAUGUUUUCAACUUGUUCAACGUUUAUGCUUUCUGUUAUGAUGUCUAAGUAGUGAACAGGUUUCUGAGGAUGGGUUAGAGUAAUGUAGAAUUCUAAGUAUGCUAGGUGAUUGAGUAUUGAUUGAUAGAUCCUUUCUGGAUUAGUUGUUCUUAAUGCCUAUUGCUUUCUGAUCAACUGGAAUUUGAGCCCAGACAUUUCUGCGCUUAAAAGGUGUUCGAUGAAAUGUCUGAACCACUAAUUCCAGAGUUUCGUGAUCCUGUACCAAGGUAUUGGUUCCAGGGAGCGUUUUGGCUUUAACUUGUUGAUUCGUAAUGCCUGUUAGGUUAGCUCUCGUCAAUGGUGAUUGAGUCUAGGACUAGGUUAACUUGAGGGUCUCUGUUGCGGUGGCACUUAGAUUUGGUUAAUGAACUUGUUGUCGAGGGUUAAUUUAUUGAGCAUGUCAAUCACUUGUAAACUGAGAAAACGAAACUACUCAAUUACCCCAUCCUCGGGAAUUCUUUAUCUGAUUGAAUUCUAUGUUUACUUUACUGUUGUUUACUGUAUCUUGUUAACUGUCGUUUAAUUUCUGCAGUUCUUUCUUGUUACUCGACCUCAUACUCGACCACCCAGUUGUUUGGAAACAGACUGUGCAGUCGAGUAUCUGUGUUAUACUUUCUGUUUGAUUUUCUGUUUUCUGCAUGAUCACUUAGGACUGCUAGAACACACCAAAACCUGUUAUUGCUUGGCUUGACUUAGUGACUUCUGAUCACAUCUUGAUUGUUAGCAUCACACCUAUUUGGAUUGACAACCUAAAAUACUACAACGACAUGAUUGGUGUUUUAGGAUAAUUGACUAAAAACUUAUUAUCAUAUAUAUUCCCCCCUUGCUCUUUCACCCAAAUCUUCAUAUUCUCCUGGAUUCUCAACUGCUUUGUGUUCAUCUAAAAGCUUCUGGUACCCCAAAGUCUCCAAAUGUAAAUCUCCUUCUUUGCUAUCCUUUGUUAAAGCACUCUGUAGAUGAUCUGUUUCUCCUAGCUCUUCUAGCAUUUUGUCAGCGAACAUAUCCAUCUCUUCAAUCCAGAAAACAUUUCCUUCUAUUGUAGGCUUCUUCAUGGUAUUAGUGAUAUCGAAGGUCAUCUUGAGAUCUCUCCCGAGGUUAAGAUCAAUCUUUCCCUUCUUAACAUCAAUGAUAGCUCCAGCUGUAGCUAAAAAUGGUCUUCCCAGUAUCAAAGGGUCUUUGGGUUUUUCAUCCAUUUCUAAAACCACAAAGUCUGUAGGUACUUCGACCACACCUAUCAUGACUGGUAAGUCUUGCAGCAGACCAUGGAGAAUUCUAACAGAUCUGUCAGCUAGGAUCAAGGAUAUAUUGCAGGGUUUGUACUUGUUGAAGCCCAGUUUCUUUGCCACAGAGAGGGGCAUGAGACUCAUAGAUGCACCUAGAUCACAGAGGCACUUGCUGAAGGCUAAAGGACCAAGAGCGCAAGGCAAGGUGAACGAACCAGGAUCUCCUAAUUUUUUUGGAAUGAUCUUCUGCUGAAUGAUCGCACUACAUUCGUGACUUAGCACCACCAUUCCUUGGACUUCUUUGAUCCUC
RNAcentral lists this small RNA (8103 nucleotides) under Arabidopsis thaliana (thale cress). RNAcentral's name for it is "ATSL040420". The stretch from base 4289 to 4509 matches the Rfam family "MIR854 microRNA precursor family". Lineage: Eukaryota; Viridiplantae; Streptophyta; Magnoliopsida; Brassicales; Brassicaceae. The record is from RNAcentral.